UGGUCGACGGAGCCAUCAGUCAAGACAGCAGCCAAGAUGGCGGCAGCUAAGGGUAAAAGAAGAUAGCUUUUCAUACAAAAAGAUGACUCAAUAACGAUACAGUCGUGGAUUUAUCUUUAUGAAAUUAUUGUGAAAAGUCACAGAAGUACCACGCCGGAUUACUAAACUUCUGGAAGGGCUACGAUUGCACUGAAGUCCUCUGGCCUUUGAAACGGCCAAGCUGAUAGCUAUCAGGCUAAAAACACAGACUAGGCUAGGUUGAAACGGUGCACUCUUCCGCUUCUAAACAAAAAAAUGAGUUUCUGGACCACAACUGAGAAGUUCCUUCACUUCAUUCAUGCCUUCUUCAUACUGUACUAACAGUAUACUCAUAGCAUUGUAUGUCAUGAUUUUUGUGCGUAAGAAAGGGAUAAAAAAAAGUAAUUGUAUAGUAUGUCGAAAAAGUGAUUAAAAAGCCAUAGUAUAGUGUGUUGAAAAAAGUGAUAAAAAGCCAUAUUAUAGUACGUUGAAAAAAGUGAUAAAAAGCCAUAGUUUAGUAUGUGGUAAAAGUGAAAAAAGUCAUAGUAUAGUAUGUCAAAAAAAGUGCAGCCAUGUUCAAGACCUGCUCGCUGCCAGUGUAUGUGCAAACACUUAGAUAGAUGUCAGCUUCAGGGACAGCUCACUGAGAUAAGCUACUAACUCAACAAUCUGCGGUUGAAGGAUCAAAUCCCACAUUUGUCUUGACAAGUUUUCAACUCUGAAAUGUGAACAAUAAAUACAACUUCCAACCAGCAUGGAGUAUCAGAUCAGAUAGCUCAGUGUGAUGGAACACUGGUUAGAAGAACACAAGGAUGUGAGUUCAAUACUCAUGAGGAGCACACCUUAUGAUGAGGCCCAACACCCAGGAAUACAAGGUCCCUCACCCAGGAGACUGGUGUUCGUGUCCCAUGUGUCAUGGAAAAGUACUUUCCAAAACCCAACUGUCUGAGUCUCCAUAAAGAUGAUGAGGACAGUUGGGAUUAGGAAAGUACUUAACCAUGACAGGUGGGACAUGAACCCUGGUCUCCUGGGUGAAAGCCCCGUGUUGUCUUUAUGACACUUAGAGAAAAAAAUUCAUGGUUGCAGUCGGCAAAAGGUAAGGUGCGCACAACCCCUUCGGGGUUGUGCGCACCUUUUAAGACAGUUGGGGAAACCCUGGUGGCAGUCGGAGUACUUUACUACUCCCUGACUGCUACCAGGAUUUCUCCAGCUGUCUAAACCCCAAUGCCGCCCCGAAGGGGCGGCAUUGGGGUUGCUGGUGAGCGCCACCCCUACGGUGGCUACCUUACCUUGUGCACAUCCUGCUGGGGCAUGCUGGACGUGAACCCGAGUCUCCUGGGUGAAGGGCUGAUGCUUAUUCGACUCUGCCACCACCUCAGCCGCCACCUCCAGCAAUUACAGUACGCAGUUAAGACGAACUUUUGGGUUUAGGAAAGAAAGAAAUUUUCUACAAACCCCAGUCAGUCAGGGUGAUUGAACCCAUGACCUGUGUUUCCUCUAAACAGUGUUCCAUCACACUGAGCUAUCUGAUCUUAUACUCUGCACUGGUUGGAAGUGUAUUUAUCGUUCACAUUUCAGAGGAGCGAGGUUGAAAAACUGUCAAGACAAAUGUGGGAUUUGAUCCUUCAACCUCAGAUUGUUGAGGCAGUAGCUGAUCUCAGUGAGCUACUCCUGAAGCUGACAUUUCAAGUUUCCAUUCUAUUAUUGGUUGUUCACACUU
This is a long non-coding RNA of Sander lucioperca (pikeperch), 1738 nucleotides long. RefSeq lists it as uncharacterized. NCBI's taxonomy places the organism in Eukaryota, Metazoa, Chordata, Actinopteri, Perciformes, Percidae. The transcript is spliced from 2 exons. The record is from RefSeq and is a predicted model, not a curated record.